This 404-nucleotide ribosomal RNA is filed under the name uncultured bacterium. RNAcentral describes it as "bacterial SSU rRNA". It matches the Rfam family "Bacterial small subunit ribosomal RNA", at positions 29 to 431 of the family's 1533-position model. The record is from RNAcentral.
AUUGAACGCUGGCGGCAUGCCUUACACAUGCAAGUCGAACGGCAGCACGGGGGCAACCCUGGUGGCGAGUGGCGAACGGGUGAGUAACACAUCGGAACGUACCCAGUUGUGGGGGAUAACCAGUCGAAAGACGGGCUAAUACCGCAUGAUCUGGCGACAGCAAAGCGGGGGAUCGGCAACGACCUCGCGCGAUUGGAGCGGCCGAUGUCCGAUUAGCUAGUUGGUGGGGAAAGGCCCACCAAGGCUUUUGAUCGGUAGCUGGUCUGAGAGGAUGAUCAGCCACACUGGGACUGAGACACGGCCCAGACUCCUACGGGAGGCAGCAGUGGGGAAUAUUGGACAAUGGGGGGCAACCCUGAUCCAGCGACGCCGCGUGUGUGAAGAAGGCCUGCGGGUUGUAAAGC